This 254-nucleotide ribosomal RNA is filed under the name uncultured bacterium. Its description in RNAcentral is "partial 16S ribosomal RNA". It matches the Rfam family "Bacterial small subunit ribosomal RNA", at positions 524 to 776 of the family's 1533-position model. The record is from RNAcentral.
UACGUAGGGUGCGAGCGUUGUCCGGAAUUAUUGGGCGUAAAGAGCUCGUAGGCGGUGUGUCGCGUCGGUCGUGAAAACUUGGGGCUUAACUCUGAGCUUGCGGUCGAUACGGGCAUCACUGGAGUUCGGCAGGGGAGACUGGAAUUCCUGGUGUAGCGGUGAAAUGCGCAGAUAUCAGGAGGAACACCGGUGGCGAAGGCGGUGUCCUGGGCCGAUCCUGACGCUGAGGAGCGAAAGCUGGGGGAGCAAACAGG